CACCAUCACCAUCAUCAUCACCAUCAUCAUCACUGACCAGCUGAACACAGCAGCUCAAUCCAUCAGGAGAAGAUCAGGAGAGACCAGCACCACGAUCCACAGAGCGAGUGAUAUCAGAUCCACAGUUCAGGAGGAAAACUGCAAAUUUCUUAUUCUAAUAAAAAUGGAUUUUAUAAAGAAAGUGAAGAAAGCAGCGUCGGACGUGGUGAACGUCACCAGUGGAACAGCGAAAGCGGCAAAGGUGAUAGCGGAGGGUUCUGAGGAGAUAACUGGAGUCGUUACUAAAGGUGUAGAAGAUGCUGCGGGUUCUGUUAACAGGUUCUUUAAAAAAGCCCAGAAAACUGUGAAGAACCUGUAACUGCUGAUCACAGGAAAUCUUCAAAAAACAGAUUUUAUUUCUUCUUUUAUAUCUACAUAUUUGUGCUUUUAAUAUCAUAAUGUAACAAAUGUAAUGCUCAGUUUAAAGAUGUGAAUAUUAUUU
This is a long non-coding RNA of Astyanax mexicanus (Mexican tetra), 481 nucleotides long. RefSeq lists it as uncharacterized. The transcript is spliced from 3 exons. The record is from RefSeq and is a predicted model, not a curated record. Lineage: Eukaryota; Metazoa; Chordata; Actinopteri; Characiformes; Acestrorhamphidae.